GAUGAACGCUGGCGGCGUGCCUAACACAUGCAAGUCGAACGGAGAUUACGGACGGAAGUUUUCGGAUGGAAGACUGUAAUUCUUAGUGGCGGACGGGUGAGUAAUGCGUGGGCAACCUGCCCUAUACAGGGGGAUAGCAGCUGGAAACGGCUGGUAAGACCGCAUAAGUCGGUUAAAUCGCAUGAUUUGAUCGGGAAAUGAGCAAUCAGGUAUAGGAUGGGCCCGCGUCCGAUUAGCCAGUUGGCAGGGUAAAAGCCUACCAAAGCGACGAUCGGUAGCCGGACUGAGAGGUCGGACGGCCACAUUGGGACUGAGACACGGCCCAAACUCCUACGGGAGGCAGCAGUGGGGGAUAUUGCACAAUGGAGGAAACUCUGAUGCAGCGACGCCGCGUGAGUGAAGAAGUAUUUCGGUAUGUAAAGCUCUAUCAGCAGGGAAGAUGAUGACGGUACCUGACUAAGAAGCCCCGGCUAACUACGUG
This 481-nucleotide ribosomal RNA is filed under the name uncultured bacterium. RNAcentral describes it as "partial 16S ribosomal RNA". It matches the Rfam family "Bacterial small subunit ribosomal RNA", at positions 28 to 507 of the family's 1533-position model. The record is from RNAcentral.